RNAcentral lists this unclassified non-coding RNA (935 nucleotides) under Acinetobacter radioresistens. Its description in RNAcentral is "contains 16S-23S intergenic spacer region". It matches the Rfam family "Bacterial small subunit ribosomal RNA", at positions 61 to 990 of the family's 1533-position model. Lineage: Bacteria; Pseudomonadati; Pseudomonadota; Gammaproteobacteria; Moraxellales; Moraxellaceae. The record is from RNAcentral.
GUCGAGCGGAUGAAGGUAGCUUGCUACCGGAUUCAGCGGCGGACGGGUGAGUAAUGCUUAGGAAUCUGCCUAUUAGUGGGGGACAACGUUCCGAAAGGAGCGCUAAUACCGCAUACGUCCUACGGGAGAAAGCNGGGGACCUUUGGGCCUUGCNNUAAUAGAUGAGCCUAAGUCGGAUUAGCUAGUUGGUAGGGUAAAGGCCUACCAAGGCGACGAUCUGUAGCGGGUCUGAGAGGAUGAUCCGCCACACUGGGACUGAGACACGGCCCAGACUCCUACGGGAGGCAGCANUGGGGAAUAUUGGACAAUGGGGGGAACCCUGAUCCAGCCAUGCCGCGUGUGUGAAGAAGGCCUUUUGGUUGUAAAGCACUUUAAGCGAGGAGGAGGCUACCUAGAUUAAUACUUUAGGAUAGUGGACGUUACUCGCAGAAUAAGCACCGGCUAACUCUGUGCCAGCAGCCGCGGUAAUACAGAGGGUGCGAGCGUUAAUCGGAUUUACUGGGCGUAAAGCGUGCGUAGGCGGCCAAUUAAGUCAAAUGUGAAAUCCCCGAGCUUAACUUGGGAAUUGCAUUCGAUACUGGUUGGCUAGAGUAUGGGAGAGGAUGGUAGAAUUCCAGGUGUAGCGGUGAAAUGCGUAGAGAUCUGGAGGAAUACCGAUGGCGAAGGCAGCCAUCUGGCCUAAUACUGACGCUGAGGUACGAAAGCAUGGGGAGCAAACAGGAUUAGAUACCCUGGUAGUCCAUGCCGUAAACGAUGUCUACUAGCCGUUGGGGCCCUUGAGGCUUUAGUGGCGCAGCUAACGCGAUAAGUAGACCGCCUGGGGAGUACGGUCGCAAGACUAAAACUCAAAUGAAUUGACGGGGGCCCGCACAAGCGGUGGAGCAUGUGGUUUAAUUCGAUGCAACGCGAAGAACCUUACCUGGCCUUGACAUACA